GUGCAGCAGGCGAGAAAAACUUCACACUGUGCGAAAGCACGAUGGAGGGAAUCCCAAGUGCUUGCACGUAAGUGUAAGCUGUUUCUCUGUUUAAAACGCAGAGAGAGUAAGGGCUGGGUAAGACGGGUGCCAGCCGCCGCGGUAACACCGGCGGUCCAACUGGUGAUCAGCAUUAUUGGGUCUAAAGCGUCCGUAGCCGGAUGGUUGGAUUUCGAGUGAAACUUCCCCAGCUUAACGUGGGGGGCGUGCUUGAAACACCCGCCAUCUAGGGGACCGGGAGAGGGUAGGGGGUAGGCCCCGGGUAGAAGUAAAA
RNAcentral lists this ribosomal RNA (313 nucleotides) under uncultured microorganism. RNAcentral's name for it is "bacterial SSU rRNA". It matches the Rfam family "Archaeal small subunit ribosomal RNA", at positions 330 to 637 of the family's 1478-position model. The record is from RNAcentral.